CCUACGGGUGGCUGCAGUGAGGAAUCUUGGUCAAUGGACGAGAGUCUGAACCAGCCACGUAGCGUGAAGGCUGCCUGCCCUAUGGGUUGUAAACUUCUUUUAUAUGGGAGUAAAAUGUUCCACGUGUGGGAUUUUGUAUGUACCAUCUGAAUAAGGAUCGGCUAAAUCCGUGCCAGCAGCCGCGGUAAUACGGAGGGUUCGAGCGUGAAUCGGAAUUACUGGGCGUAACGCGCUCGUAGGCGGUAUGUCAAGUCAAGGGUGAAAUCCCCGCGCGCAACGUGGGAACUGCCUUUGAAACUGGCAAACGGGAGUGUGGGAGAGGAUAGUGGAAUUCGAGGUGUAGGAGUGAAAUCCGUAGAUAUCUGGAGGAACAUCAGUGGCGAAGGCGACUAUCUGGCACAUAACUGACGCUGAGGAGCGAAAGCGUGGGUAGCAAACAGGAUUAGAUACCCGAGUAGUC
Molecule: ribosomal RNA, 460 nt
Filed under: uncultured bacterium
Lineage: Bacteria
Description: partial 16S ribosomal RNA
Rfam family: Bacterial small subunit ribosomal RNA
Source: RNAcentral